Molecule: ribosomal RNA, 1403 nt
Filed under: uncultured organism
Description: 16S ribosomal RNA
Rfam family: Bacterial small subunit ribosomal RNA
Source: RNAcentral
GAGUGGCGAAAGGGUGAGUAACGCGUGAGCAAUCUACCUCUAAGUUCGGAAUAACCCCGCGAAAGUGGAGCUAAUACCGGAUGUGGUACCUCGUCGCAUGGCGAGGCUAUUAAAGGUGGGGAUCCUUCGGGACCUGCUGCUUGGAGAGGAGCUCGCGUCCCAUCAGCCUGUUGGUAGGGUAACGGCCUACCAAGGCAUACGGGUAGCCGGCCUGAGAGGGUGACCGGCCACACUGGGACUGAGACACUGCCCAGACUCCUACGGGAGGCUGCAGUCGAGAAUCAUUGUCAAUGCGCGAAAGCAUGAACAUUGCGACGCCGCGUGCAGGAUGACGGCCUUCGGGUUGUAAACUGCUGUCAUGAGGGAACAAAGCUUGCGCGUGAACAGCGCGGGAGUUUGAUUGUACCUCAAGAGGAAGCCACGGCUAACUCUGUGCCAGCAGCCGCGGUAAUACAGAGGUGGCGAGCGUUGUUCGGAAUCACUGGGCGUAAAGGGUGCGUAGGCGGUCCGGUAUGUCGGAUGUGAAAUAUUGCGGCUCAACCGCGAAAGGUCAUUCGAAACUGCCGAACUGGAGUACUGGAGAGGAGAGCGGAAUUCUUGGUGUAGCGGUGAAAUGCGUAGAUAUCAAGAAGAACGCCGGUGGCGAAGGCGGCUCUCUGGACAGAUACUGACGCUGAGGCACGAAAGCUGGGGGAGCAAACAGGAUUAGAUACCCUGGUAGUCCCAGCCGUAAACGUUGUGCACUUGGUGUAGGAGGAAUUAUCCCCUUCUGUGCCGGAGUUAACGCGUUAAGUGCACCGCCUGGGGAGUACGGCCGCAAGGCUAAAACUCAGAGGAAUUGACGGGGGCCCGCACAAGCGGUGGAGCAUGUGGCUUAAUUCGAUGCAACGCGAAGAACCUUACCUGGGCUUGACAUGGAGAGGCUUCGGCCUAAACCGGUGAAAGUCGGUUGAACUCACACAGGUGCUGCAUGGCUGUCGUCAGCUCGUGCCGUGAGGUGUUGGGUUAAGUCCCGCAACGAGCGCAACCCCUGUCGUUAGUUGCCACUCCCGCAGAAAUGCGGGAAGCACUCUAGCGAGACUGCCUGUGACAAGCAGGAGGAAGGUGGGGAUGACGUCAAGUCAGUAUGGUCCUUAUGCCCAGGGCUGCACACGUGCUACAAUGGGCGGUACAAAAGGAAGCGAAGCCGCGAGGUGGAGCAAAUCCUCAAAGCCGUCCUCAGUUCGGAUCGCAGUCUGCAACCCGACUGCGUGAAGCUGGAAUCGCUAGUAAAGGCGUAUCAGCUACGACGCCUUGUUCGGUUCCCGGCCCUUGUACACACCGCCCGUCACAUCAUGAAAGCCGAUUGCACCCGAAGUCGCCGGGCUAACCUUUACUGGAGGCAGGCGCCGAAGGUGUGAUUG